UCUCCAACCGUCGUCGGGGGAGGAUGCGCGCCCCUCUCUCCAGUCUGAUCAGUCGCAGCCUCACUCGUACUCAACACCUGGUGACUGACUGAACCCCACCAGGCGCCUUGACUCUUAGGGCUCCCUUGACAGUGACGAAGAAACACGAAUGAAAAUAACAAGGGAAAAUAAGUGAUACGUGAAUUCUAAUGGUGAUGAUAAUAAUGACAAUCGUGACAGACAGCGGGAAGUGACAAGUACAUUCGGAGAUUAAGUACAACGUUGCAGUAAGGUAGAGGUUCAAAACAAAACGUGCCAUAUUCCUACACUCAAAACUGAAGGCUGGAAGGAGGAAAAGAACGCAGGAAAUAUUUAUCUUACACACCUGACUGAGUGAGACACAAGAGCAACUGACUCAGACCUGCACAAGACACAUUAUUCUUACGACACACCUGAGGCGGAUCAUUGUAAAGCUACCUGGAGUGUGAAACUCGUGCAGUAAAAGGAAAGAAAAAGGGAAGAGGAGAAAAGAAAAGCAUGGGAAAAAACAGUGAAAAGGUUUAUGGGAGCAAUUACCUUUAAAAAAUUUCUUACUUACGAAUAAAAAAAGAUAUUUGUGAAAAGUUUACGCGCAAAAAAAAGGUGAAAUUUCAAACUCAUACCACUUCUUGCUUAUAGAAAGUAAGAGAUAAAAAAUAUAUAUAUACAUAAAAACAACAAAA
This 701-nucleotide long non-coding RNA is filed under the name Portunus trituberculatus (swimming crab). RNAcentral describes it as "uncharacterized LOC123506056, transcript variant X1". Lineage: Eukaryota; Metazoa; Arthropoda; Malacostraca; Decapoda; Portunidae. The record is from RNAcentral.